GACGAACGCUGGCGGCGUGCUUAACACAUGCAAGUCGAACGGAAAGGCCCGCUUGCGGGUGCUCGAGUGGCGAACGGGUGAGUAACACGUGGGUAACCUGCCCCCUGCUUCGGGAUAACUCCGGGAAACCGGGGCUAAUACCGGAUAUUCAUUGCUGGCCGCAUGGUUGGUGGUGGAAAGUUUUUCGGCUGGGGAUGGGCCCGCGGCCUAUCAGCUUGUUGGUGGGGUGAUGGCCUACCAAGGCUUCGACGGGUAGCCAGCCUGAGAGGGCGACCGGCCACACUGGGACUGAGACACGGCCCAGACUCCUACGGGAGGCAGCAGUGGGGAAUAUUGCGCAAUGGGCGGAAGCCUGACGCAGCGACGCCGCGUGAGGGAUGACGGCCUUCGGGUUGUAAACCUCUUUCAGCAGGGACGAAUUGUGACGGUACCUGUAGAAGAAGCACCGGCCAACUACGUGCCAGCAGCCGCCGUAA
RNAcentral lists this ribosomal RNA (476 nucleotides) under uncultured bacterium. RNAcentral's name for it is "partial 16S ribosomal RNA". It matches the Rfam family "Bacterial small subunit ribosomal RNA", at positions 28 to 523 of the family's 1533-position model. The record is from RNAcentral.